This 76-nucleotide transfer RNA is filed under the name Nitrospinaceae bacterium. Its description in RNAcentral is "tRNA-Val". It matches the Rfam family "tRNA". Rfam says of the family: Transfer RNA (tRNA) molecules are approximately 80 nucleotides in length. Their secondary structure includes four short double-helical elements and three loops (D, anti-codon, and T loops). Lineage: Bacteria; Pseudomonadati; Nitrospinota; Nitrospinia; Nitrospinales; Nitrospinaceae. The record is from RNAcentral.
GGGCGGGUAGCUCAGUUGGGAGAGCGGUGCCCUUACAAGGCAUAGGUCGCAGGUUCGAGCCCUGUCCCGCCCACCA